Non-coding RNA from Podarcis lilfordi (Lilford's wall lizard), 74 nucleotides. The record is from the annotation of a GenBank genome assembly. NCBI's taxonomy places the organism in Eukaryota, Metazoa, Chordata, Lepidosauria, Squamata, Lacertidae.
GCUCCACUUGCUCAGUCAGUAGAGCAUGAGACCUUUAAAUCUCGGGGUUGUGAGUUCGGGCCCCACAUUGGGCA